This 1014-nucleotide long non-coding RNA is filed under the name Zea mays. RNAcentral's name for it is "long non-coding RNA (ZMAY_LNC002412)". The record is from RNAcentral. Lineage: Eukaryota; Viridiplantae; Streptophyta; Magnoliopsida; Poales; Poaceae.
ACAAAAACAUACUAAGUAUUAUUAAUCGGCUAGCAAAGAGAAGUUAAACAUACGACAUGAAGUGAAUUAACUAGUGCGCACGACUAGUUAAAAAAACAAACUUCCUUUGACAAUAAGUUUCUAAUUAAAUCAUGGCUGCGCCUGGGCAGCGUUAUUGUGAGAGUGAAAGUGGACGUGCUGCUACUCCCCUCAUUCCCAACAUGUAUCAAGUACCUGCAUUGAGUAAUGCAAGAGUGAGAUGACACAUCUCAGCAAGUAAAAUAAUAUCAAACUGUUUAACCACAUAAGAAUAUUGUUUUACCACCACUUGAUUCCACAACCUUUUUAUUACGAAGGUGCAGCACGUAUACAACAUACAACACACCUAGUCACCACACCUCGCAGGUAGAAACCACAAUAGUAACAUAGUAAUGUCACACUUCAUAUAUACCUCAUGAGUGCAAAUGUCUGCAAAUGCAAGGAUGACUUCUGCCUUCAUACCUCUAAGGAUAUGAAGCCGCAUCGUACCCCUCCUCGGGCAACGUACGAUGCUAAAAAUGUACCGGUACGGUCGGACCAUAAGAUCAGGACAUAACUUCAAAAUGCAAGAUGGAUGAUGCGAUGAGCAUGUCAUGCCUACAACACUUCAUAUAAUGUGAUUCAAAAAAAUACUUCAACUUCAUCCAAGAUGGGAAUCAACCACAUAUAUCAUUACCAAAUUAUGAUCAUCCACAAUAUUAGACAAUUGACAAUUAAUACUUCCAAACAAAUAAACAUCAUCAUAGAAUUCAAUGAUUAACAUAAUUAAAACUUAUGCAUACUCAAUGUCAGGGAAUAGGAUGCAACCCAAACGGUAGCAACCACCACUGUAUUUACUUGCCUUUACCGGAAGUUCGGGCAAAUGCCUAAGUACGAUCCGGAAGUCCACCACCUUGGGUUCCUCCUUUCCUCCUUCUUUUCUUCCUUCUUCCUCCCUCCAAACUCCCAUGGAAGACUUGCACCCACACGACGGACACCAAGCGGGGAGGCUCCACC